This 485-nucleotide ribosomal RNA is filed under the name uncultured bacterium. Its description in RNAcentral is "partial 16S ribosomal RNA". It matches the Rfam family "Bacterial small subunit ribosomal RNA", at positions 28 to 523 of the family's 1533-position model. The record is from RNAcentral.
GAUGAACGCUGGCGGCGCGCCUAACACAUGCAAGUCGAACGGUUAAAGCACCUCCGGGUGUGCAUAAAGUGGCGAACGGCUGAGUAACACGUGGGCAACCUGCCCCUCGCCCCGGGACAGCCUCGGGAAACCGUGGUUAAUACCGGAGACUCCGCAGCCCCCGCCUCGGGGAGGCGGGAACGCCCAGACGGCGAGGGAGGGGCCCGCGGCCUGUUAGCUAGUUGGUGGGGCAACGGCCCACCAAGGCGAUUAUGGGUAGCUGGGUUGAGAGACCGACCAGCCAGAUUGGGACUGAGACACGGCCCAGACUCCUACGGGAGGCAGCAGUGGGGAAUCUUGCGCAAUGGGCGAAAGCCUGACGCAGCGACGCCGCGUGCGGGAUGAAGGCCUUCGGGUCGUAAACCGCUUUCAGCAGGGACGAGGCCGCAAGGUGACGGUACCUGCAGAAGAAGCCCCGGCUAACUACGUGCCAGCCGCCGCAGUAA